CACCGCCGUCACAUCAUGAAAGCCGUUUGUACCGAAGUCGUCGUGUUAACCCGCAAGGGAGACAGAUGCCGAAGGUAUGGAUGGUGAUUGGGAGUG
RNAcentral lists this ribosomal RNA (96 nucleotides) under uncultured bacterium. RNAcentral describes it as "partial 16S ribosomal RNA". The record is from RNAcentral.